This is a long non-coding RNA of Oncorhynchus tshawytscha (Chinook salmon), 1113 nucleotides long. Lineage: Eukaryota; Metazoa; Chordata; Actinopteri; Salmoniformes; Salmonidae. The record is from Ensembl.
AGCAGGAAAACCAAAUAUCUCUGACAGUUGACAAGCAGGGAUACCUUCUACGUCAACACCAUGACCAGCUGGCACAACUGGGGAGUCGUUGCCUUCAACUACCUGAUGAUACAUCCAGCCGACCCAGUGAGCCAGCACAACAGCCCAUUCAGCAACCCGCUCAGGUCACUGAGGCACUCUUCCAGCAGGUCUUCCAGCAUUAUGGCCUUCCAGAGAACAUUGUCUCCUCAUCUCACAUCAAGGGUAUGGAAAGCCUUUAUGGAGAAGCUCGGGGUCACAGUCAGCCUCACUUCCGGGUACCAGCCUCAGUCCAUCGGGCAGGUGGAGAGGAUGAACCAGGAGCUGGGGAGGUUCCUGAGGAGUCACUGUCAGGACUGGCAGGGAGAGUGGGCUGGUGGUUCCUGAUCCCCUAGCCGAUGCUGUCCCCCACAACACACACCCCCCUGGACAUCGAGGGGAAUCCGGUAUAUGCCGUCUGAUCCCUACUGGACCCCCGACGUCGUGGGGGUCGACUCCAGUACCUGGUUGACUGAGAGGGGUAUGGCCCAGAAGAGCGGUGUUGGGUUCCGGUGGAGGACCUUUGCCGCCCGAACUGGCUUCUCGGGGUCGUCCCUCUGGUUGGUGUUGUCCUGUGGCUUUCGACGUCGCCAGUAUACUAACGGCGGCAGGAUAGGCAGGGUAGCCUAGUGGUUAGAGUGGUUGGAGCGUUGGACUAGUAACCGGAAGGUUGCAAGUUCAAACCCCCGAGCUGACAAGGUACAAAUCUGUCGUUCUGCCCCUGAACAGGCAGUUAACCCACUGUUCCUAGGCCAUCUUUGAAAAUAAGUAUUUGUUCUUAACUGACAUGCCUGGUUAAAUAAAGGUAAAAUAAAUAAAAAACCACCGGUCCUGGGAUCCAUCAUUACGCACACCUGGCAUCCAUCAUUACGCGCACCUGCAGAUCAUCAUGAUACUCACCUGGACUCCAUUACCUUCCUGGUUACCUCCCCUAUAUCUGUCACUACCUUGGGUCCUUCCUCAGUCAUUAUUGUUUCUGUGUUCAUGCGGAAAUGCCACUGUUAUGUUGUCUCAUUUCAUGUUUGUUGUUUUAAUAAACGUUUCACCUGCACCUGC